GUCGCCUACACGAAGGCUGGAGAGUCCAGAUAAAACAAGUCUAGAGCAAUGUCAAACCUGAAGACAAAUAGCAAAUGAAUGAAAACUCUCAAGGCACCCGUGCUGAACUUUCAAAACCAUGACUAAGCAUAUAAUACAUUUCUCAAAUUUGAGUUCUUUCUGAAAUUUAAUCUCAAAGAGAGAAGAAGAACCCACCACAAAUUCUUCAAGAAUGGGGCUUUUCUCUCUAACCAUGGCGGGUGGAUGUUUCAUUAUGAUUGGUGCAUGGGAAUCUUUCACCUCCUCUACCUCAAAUCCGAGCCUAAGCUCAGUCUCUUCUUCUAUGUUUGAUCGAAUGACAAAAUCAACCACCCAAAACAACCCAAAUCCGAAAGAUCAUUCCUUUUCUUUAGUUUACAUCGUCAUCACUGUCUUUUCUUUUCUCUUCCUUAUUGAUUCUCUAAUCUCACUUUUCUACGCUAUCAACUCACAAGAUGGAAUUGGCUCCGCCCUCCAGUUGCAAGUUCUUGCUGUUGCCGCGCAUUUUUCCUUGUACUCAAUUUUAGGUCUGGCAUCGAAUUUUUCAAGUUCUGUUCGUUUCCCUUCUUCGCUUCUUGAUUUGAUCCUUCUAUUCGCUUUCGUAGAGGAGUUCUUGUUGUAUUACCUGCAGAGGAAGGACACAAGUGGAAUUGAGAACAGGUAUUUUGAUCUUUUGCUUGUUCCCAUUGCGAUUUGUGUUUUUUCUACGAUUCUGGAGUUAAAGUCUUCCUCAAAAUCGAAUAAUUAUGCAAGAAUGGCCCGUGGGGUUGGGUUGAUUUUGCAAGGCAUGUGGUUUGUGCAAAUGGGUAUAUCCUUUUACACCAAUAUGAUCGUUCAUGGUUGCUCUUGCAUGAAAAGAGCAGAGGGGAUUACACUAUAAAAUGUAAAGGGCACUCCGAUUACCAUUGGGCCAGAGGGAUCGCUACGCUUCAGUUCAACUGCCAUCUUGCUUUGCUUGUGGUUUUGUUGACAACUGUGCACUCCGUUAUGGCUAAAAAGAAUAGGGAUCAUAGUAAUUUUAAGCAGUAUAAGCCUCUUGGGGCGGAGAUGCAGAACAAUGAGCACUUCACUUUGGAUUCUGAUGAGGAUGAGAUUAGAGAAGAGGAGAAUGCGGUUAAGGACAAGUUAGCUGUAGUGGAAAUGGUUGCUAACUAGUGGAAAUGGUUGUAAACGGUCAUGAGUGAGGUAAUUCUAGAGGUUUAUUUUUUGUGUAGUGUAUUAUUUUAUUAGUUCAGAGGGAGCUGGUUCAUGUUGUAUAAAUGAAUUGUAAUAGUCCUCUUUACAGGUUUUGGGACAUGAAAUUUGUUUCUUUUA
Molecule: RNA transcript, 1332 nt
Organism: Hevea brasiliensis (rubber tree)
Lineage: Eukaryota; Viridiplantae; Streptophyta; Magnoliopsida; Malpighiales; Euphorbiaceae
Exons: 1
Source: RefSeq, a predicted model, not a curated record